GUUUGACCUCGGAUCAGGUAGGAAUACCCGCUGAACUUAAGCAUAUCAAUAAGCGGAGGAAAA
RNAcentral lists this ribosomal RNA (63 nucleotides) under Nectria cinnabarina. RNAcentral's name for it is "partial 28S ribosomal RNA". It matches the Rfam family "Eukaryotic large subunit ribosomal RNA", at positions 1 to 60 of the family's 3401-position model. The record is from RNAcentral. Lineage: Eukaryota; Fungi; Ascomycota; Sordariomycetes; Hypocreales; Nectriaceae.